UACGAAGGGGGCUAGCGUUGCUCGGAAUUACUGGGCGUAAAGCGCACGUAGGCGGUUUCUUAAGUCGGGGGUGAAAUCCUGGAGCUCAACUCCAGAACUGCCUUCGAUACUGAGAGACUUGAGUCCGGGAGAGGUGAGUGGAACUGCGAGUGUAGAGGUGAAAUUCGUAGAUAUUCGCAAGAACACCAGUGGCGAAGGCGGCUCACUGGCCCGGUACUGACGCUGAGGUGCGAAAGCGUGGGGAGCGAACAGG
RNAcentral lists this ribosomal RNA (253 nucleotides) under uncultured bacterium. RNAcentral's name for it is "partial 16S ribosomal RNA". It matches the Rfam family "Bacterial small subunit ribosomal RNA", at positions 524 to 776 of the family's 1533-position model. The record is from RNAcentral.